AGUGUGCGGGUCUCGGCGAAGAAGCCCCCGAGCGGCAGCCCCAGUCGUUUCGUGUGUUCCUUGUUGGCAGCCCCCGCCGGCUGCCACAUCCAUAGUCUGAGCCUUUCAUCCUGUAAACGGGAUGGAGGAGAGACCCCCAGCCGCUCCAGCAUGGCCGGGGAGGAGAGUGGGGCUCCCCAGGACAGAAGAUCUCCAGCGGAGCCCUACCAAGUGACCGAGGUCAUCCCUCUGCAUGCUGGUGAGUGAGGGUCUAAAGCGGGGUGGGCAGGGCUGGGGCAGCGAGUGCCCCCUGCUCCACACCAGGAACCCUUGUCACGGGCAGACUUUGCCAUGGGAGCGAGCCCAGGGCCGGAGAGGGCAGAGCUCCUUCUGCUCCUGCCUGCCUUUGGCCCCUCUAUAGCACUGCUCUCUCUCCUUGCUCAGAUGCUGAAUUGCUGCCUCUAUCUGAUGUGGAACAGGAGGCAGUGGAUUUCAUCCAAGCCAACAGCAUCAGCAAGGAAAUGGAUCUGGUGCAGAAGCUGCGGUUCCUCAACAGCAUUUGCAUACUGUGCAGCACCGCUGGACAGGAGGGCCUCACACUGAGCCAUGAUAUCUUCUGCUUGCUGAAAAAUCAGUGCAAGAAGAUUGAGGUGAGGGGACAUGGCACCCAGGUAGCUGCACCCUGUGAGAAGGACAGGACAGGGGGAGAGGGAGGCAGGGAAAUGAGCACAGACACCCAAGUGCCCCAGAUGGGACUCCAGGUGCUGCUGAGAGCUCAGCAGUGGAGGUGGACAGCAGCACCAGUGUGCCAGUGUUUUGUCAAGGGCCACUGGGGCGACUCAGGCCCUAGCGGCCGGUGGCAGGUUUGCUGUUGCUGGGUGCUGGCAGCUGCCAGGUGCCAUCCUGAUUGUGCUUUGCAGGUUCUGUUGUGUGAGGAGCCCAUGGAGCAGCUGAGCACCGGCCUGAGAUACUGCUGCAUGAACACCAUUGCUGCCUUGAGGUACCUGCCCAGCCCCUGCUUUUGCCAGCACAUCCCCCGGGCACCAUCCUGGUGGCCCUGACGCAGCUCCCCGCUAAGUCUUGGCCCUCGCCCCAAAGCUGGUGACAUCAGGACUGUCCUCUGACCCAGAGCAGCCCCGUGGGGGAGGAGGCACCUCCUGCAGGGCUCCCAUCCCUCUCAGGGAGCCUUGCCCAGGGGAGGACCUGUUCCACCCCUGCCUCAGCACCCAGGCACCUCUCCUAGCAUCAGUGUCUCUCUAAUUGCAGCACUGUGAAUGCAGUUACGGAGGAAGAAAUACUCCAUCUCUUCAAGGUGUGCUGCAGCAUCGUCUUCUAUCUUCCUCCAGCCAGGGCCUUGAACAUUUCCCUCUACAACCAGGUAUGUACUGGGCAAUCUACUGUUGACCCCAUGCCUCUGGGCUGCCGCUUGCAUUACUUGUGUCCAGAGAUCUAUCAAGAUGUUUGUGGGAUGAAUUGGCAGCCUUGCUUGCCCUCACCCCUCUCACUCUUGCCUUGGGCUUGGCAAACAGCCUGUGUUGUAGCCUGCUCUGAGUGCAGCAGCCUUGCAGGGUGCCCCUGUGCACAGAUCUGUGGGUAUCCUUCCUUGG
Coturnix japonica (Japanese quail) is the source of this 1586-nucleotide long non-coding RNA. NCBI's taxonomy places the organism in Eukaryota, Metazoa, Chordata, Aves, Galliformes, Phasianidae. The record is from Ensembl.